AACGUAGGAGACAAACGUUAUCCGGAGUUACUGGGCGUAAAGGGCGUGUAGGUGGUUGUGUAAGUCUGGCGUGAAAUUUUUCGGCUUAACCGGGAAAGGUCGUCGGAUACUGCAGAACUAGAGGACGGUAGAGGCGUGUGGAAUUCCGGGUGUAGUGGUGAAAUGCGUAGAGAUCCGGAGGAACACCAGUGGCGAAGGCGACACGCUGGGCCGUACCUGACACUGAUGCGCGACAGCAUGGGGGAGCAAACAGG
RNAcentral lists this ribosomal RNA (254 nucleotides) under uncultured bacterium. Its description in RNAcentral is "partial 16S ribosomal RNA". It matches the Rfam family "Bacterial small subunit ribosomal RNA", at positions 524 to 776 of the family's 1533-position model. The record is from RNAcentral.